RNAcentral lists this ribosomal RNA (429 nucleotides) under Gemmatimonadota bacterium. RNAcentral's name for it is "Gemmatimonadetes bacterium partial 16S ribosomal RNA". It matches the Rfam family "Bacterial small subunit ribosomal RNA", at positions 355 to 776 of the family's 1533-position model. The record is from RNAcentral. Lineage: Bacteria; Pseudomonadati; Gemmatimonadota.
UAGGGAAUCUUCGGCAAUGGACGAAAGUCUGACCGAGCAACGCCGCGUGAGUGAAGAAGGUUUUCGGAUCGUAAAACUCUGUUGUUAGAGAAGAACAAGGACGUUAGUAACUGAACGUCCCCUGACGGUAUCUAACCAGAAAGCCACGGCUAACUACGUGCCAGCAGCCGCGGUAAUACGUAGGUGGCAAGCGUUGUCCGGAUUUAUUGGGCGUAAAGCGAGCGCAGGCGGUUUCUUAAGUCUGAUGUGAAAGCCCCCGGCUCAACCGGGGAGGGUCAUUGGAAACUGGGAGACUUGAGUGCAGAAGAGGAGAGUGGAAUUCCAUGUGUAGCGGUGAAAUGCGUAGAUAUAUGGAGGAAAACCAGUGGCGAAGGCGGCUCUCUGGUCUGUAACGGACGCUGAGGCUCGAAAGCGUGGGGAGCAAACAGG